Mus musculus (house mouse) is the source of this 410-nucleotide long non-coding RNA. RefSeq annotates it as predicted gene, 33246. NCBI's taxonomy places the organism in Eukaryota, Metazoa, Chordata, Mammalia, Rodentia, Muridae. The transcript is spliced from 3 exons. The record is from RefSeq and is a predicted model, not a curated record.
AGAUCAUCUGAUGGGGAUUCAAAGUGGGAACAAUUGCUACCAGUACUGGGAACACCAGGGACAUGACCACCCUGGCUUCAUACUGUGAGUUAUCACAGGAAAGAAGUGUCAUGAGAAAUGAAAGGAGUGCUAUGCUAAUCUCACAUUUGCAACGAUCAGCAUCAGCUAGUUAUUAGCAAGUCAAGAUUCAUUAACUUAAAGGCUGAAACCUGGCUGCUCAGGUUUCACUGUUAGCAUGAAGAGAGCAUCCAGGUGGAGCCUGCUGCCCUAUCUUCUGCCACUCCCACUGCUACUGCCUCCCACUGAGCUGUUCACCUGAAACUGGACUCCAAGGAUGAUUUGGCGGGAAUGGGCCCCUUCCCCUCUUUCAUAAACCAGUGUCUGGGAAUAGUAAAAUUGAACCUUGAUCA